AGUGAUACACCGAUAUAGAUUUGUAUCAAAAUAAUCCGAAGCUAUUUAUAAAUAUUAUUUUCUCAGCUUUUACUUAUGUUCAAACGUUAAUAGUAACGUCUGAUCUAUAAUUAACUUGUGAAAGUUUAUAAAUAUUACAGUAUUCCAUGGUGAAGUAGUGAGUCGAGUCGGUUAUUAGUGGCAAAGGUUGCCAUUUUUUUAGUGGGAUAUAAUCGUGUGUGGUGAUAUCAGGGCGUGAUCUCAGUGCUCGGAGUCGCUCCGAGAGGGAAUCCGGGGCAGUGUUGAGAUGCAACUAGUGUCAGUGCGGUCGAGAUAAUAGCAGUGCGUGUUGUGGUCGUGGUGACGUGAUGAUGCGGUCGCAGUGAGGGGGCAGAGCGACACCACGGCUUCGUCAGUGGCGGGCGGCGCGCGGGGAGCCGAGUCUCCUUCGCAGCCCAACCAAGACACGGUGGACAACGCCACUCCCACCUGCUGGUGGGCGGCGUGGUCGGCAAUGGGAUGCUUCGGCUCGCCGGGCGGCAAGAGCAGCGAAGACGACGCCAAGAAACAGAAACGCCGCAGCGAUGCCAUCACCAAGCAGCUGCAGAAGGAUAAACAGCUAUACCGCGCCACGCACCGCCUCCUACUCCUGGGCGCGGGCGAGUCGGGCAAGUCCACCAUCGUGAAACAAAUGCGUAUCCUUCACGUGAACGGCUUCUCCGACAAGGAGCGCCGCGAGAAGAUCGAGGACAUCAAGAAGAAUAUACGCGACGCGAUACUUACAAUAACCGGCGCUAUGAGCACUCUGACGCCGCCCAUACCGCUCGAGAAGCCGGAGAAUAAGGCGCGCGUCGAUUAUAUACAGGACGUAGCGUCCCAGCCGGACUUCGACUACCCGAUGGAGUUCUACGAGCACACGGAGGCGCUGUGGCACGACCUCGGCGUGCAGCGCACCUACGAGCGCAGCAACGAGUACCAGCUCAUCGACUGCGCUAAGUAUUUCCUGGACCAGGUGCACAUAAUAAAGCAGCCGAACUACACGCCGACGGAGCAGGACAUCCUGCGCUGUCGAGUCCUCACCUCCGGCAUCUUCGAGACGCAGUUCGUUGUCGACAAAGUCAAUUUCCAUAUGUUCGACGUGGGCGGCCAGCGCGACGAGCGACGCAAGUGGAUCCAGUGCUUCAACGACGUGACGGCCAUCAUCUUCGUGACCGCCUGCUCGUCCUACAACAUGGUGCUGCGCGAGGACCCCACGCAGAACCGCCUCCGGGAGUCGCUCGACCUCUUCAAGAGCAUAUGGAACAACAGAUGGCUGCGCACGAUAUCGGUGAUCCUGUUCCUGAACAAGCAGGACCUGCUGGCGGAGAAGGUGGUGGCGGGCAAGUCGCGGCUGGAGGAGUACUUCGCGGAGUUCGCGCGCUACUCCACGCCACCCGACGCCGCGCCCGACGCCCGCGACCAUCCCGACGUCGCCCGGGCCAAGUACUUCAUACGGGACGAGUUCCUUCGUAUAAGCACGGCAAGCGGCGACGGCAAGCACUACUGCUACCCGCACUUCACGUGCGCCGUCGACACCGAGAACAUCAAGCGCGUGUUCAACGACUGCCGCGACAUCAUACAACGCAUGCACCUCCGGCAGUACGAGCUGCUCUAACCAUAGCACCACCCGCUAGAUAAAGUAUGUGCGGUGCAGUAAAGGCCCGCGACUCGUAUGACCCGGUCAGCAAUACAUACUACACUACGUACGCCCUGACUCCCUGGUUUAUUUACCGCCCAACGAAAACGCUUCGUAACGAUACAUAUGUAUUUAUGACGAAAACAACUCAUGAAAAACCAGAUUCUGUAAAAAAAAAAAUAACGAAAAAUCUCGAAUUUUCUAUCCAAAAACUCAAUCUCGAAUAAUUUCGCUUUGAUACGACAAAAUAUUUACCGAUUACCGAUUGUAAGAGUAUCGAUUACGAAGCGUUAAUCGUUAUACCGCGGCUAGUGAUGUUCCCAUGGUGUUUCCGAACGUCAGAGUUUGCGAUAAGCUGGCAACUUUAGUCGAUUUUAUGUGAGAAUUUACUAAACAUGUUUAGUUAUGCACAUCAUAAAAUUGUUGGCUUUAGAUAAAUACCACUUACUUCUAUAGUACUGAGUGAGAAGUUAAAUGCAAUGAAAAAUAUCGAAUUCUAUUCUAAACACCUUUUACUCAUGACACUAUGCAGGGUUGACACACAGUAAAAUAAUUUGGGCAUGUCACUAAUUUAAAUCAAAUUGCAAUUAAAAUUAUGUACAACUGGUUGUUUAUCGCGGAUUCACCCGCAUCUCGAGGGGACUAUUCCCUUCACCCGGGCAAAAGACCAUUUUUAAAACAAACAUAAGACAAAUACAAAACUUUCCACGUCAUGAAAUUAGGAAGAUAAUUUUCUUUCGUAAAUGGCAUCUAAAUUCAAUUUUCUUUUUACCUGGUCAUGUCAACUAUUGCCAUGAAGGAUUGGCCACAUCAGUCAAUAAAAGUCCACCAUCCCUGCAUUAGUGUCAUUAGCUCACUGAAGUGCGAUUGAUACAUAGUGGCAUUUGUUUAGAGUCCAUUUACUUAUCAUUUUUAGUAAGUUGUCACCUUAGUCGAUGUUGUAAACGCACAUCACUACGGUCCUUUUUCGAAAUUCGAGCACCGCGUAGUGGUGUGACGUUGUCGGGUCUAUUGGGUUGUGACGUGAUUCGACUAAAUUCGACUGCUCGAUGAGGCGUGGAGUAUCGAAUAUUCGCCAGUUACGUUUAUAUAAUAUCGAUUAAUUUAGUCGAUCGGUCUCUUUACGAUAUAUUUUAUUCAGUUGACACAAACAAUGGUACUUAUAAGUUGUUCUUAAUUCUUAUUAUUAUAAUUAUUUGCUUCAAGAUUCUAUUAUAAAUUGAUAGUUGUUGAUUUUAAAAACAUUAUUUUUAAUUGUAACUUAUACAUUAAAUCAUGCGAUAUUCACUGUAAGUGCUGGGUUAGGACAGGAUGUGUAAUCGAUAACAUUUUAUUAAAUGUUUUAAUCGACUGAAAUCGUUUGGGAACGGAUAAUCGACUAAUCCUUACAUUACUUUGUGCAUUAUUCGAAACAUUGUGUUUAUAAUCGCCAAACAGACUUUUAGUGAUGUGAGCGUUUUGAUGUUUUAGUCGAUUUGAAGUUAUAAAAAUAGUGUGAAAGUCUAGAUUUAGUCUAGACUAGACUGGUUCGUGUGGAGGUGCGAGCGACCCGGGUGGGACGCGGCUGCGGCACGACAACGAUACGAUACCGACACGAUUCAUUUCAAUUAUAAAAUAAAGUAUAGUCUACCAACUAAUUUUAGUGAAUUAAUUAAGGAACAUUUCUUAAUACAAAUACGUAAUAAUACGUUGAGUUACCACAGUUUUUUUGUUAUUAUUGUCGGUAAAUAUUUCAUAGUCGUCCGCUCCGGUCCGCAGCUGUUUCAAACGGUUUUAUAUUAAGGAUCAUCGAAGUACUAGGUACGCCUCGAGGCUAGAUCAAUAGUAUUCACUUCACUUUCGAGUACACAACGUUUUUUUUUUAAGUUGGUUAAGCUUAACUUGGGGAUAUUAGUCGGACUACGCACAUUUUGAAUAUAGAACUCAGUUUCUUUUUUUGUAAUGUAAACUUCUUUGUCAUAUCAUAAACUAUAGAGGUUUUUUUAAUAGAUGAAAAAUACUGUCCGUUUCUGACAUUAUAGCACAAAAAAGUUUUUGUUGUUGUCUAUGUGUAGUCCAACUUUACCCGCUAUUUACCGAGCGCAAUCAUUUUAUGCUCAAAUUAGGCCAAAUCGUUUAUUUUAUUUAUUUAAACAAUAAACCCUGAAUAUUUAAAUUGAAAUAUAUUGAUUUCGUAAUAAAAUUAUACACUGAGUAUAGCCAUUUUUUUCUAGAUCAAAUUAAAAAGGAAUAUUUGAUAUGUCUGUAUAUUUUUGAUUACAGAAGUUUUUAUUUUAUUUUCUUUGGCGGAUAUUUUAGGGGUGGGCUCUUACGUGUUAUUUUGAAUGAACAACAAUUAAAUAACAUAUUGUAACACUAAUUUGAUUUUGUUGUUUGGUAACCAAAACAGCUUAUGAAAUAUUUUUAUCAUUGUAUUGACAAAUGACAUGAGUAAAAUUUAAGCAUCCAAACUUUUAUGAUAAAAUAUGAUGUCGAUAAUAUUAAAAUCAGAGUGAAAUCAAGCGACCAUAUCUAACACAUGAGGGCACAUCUUUAUUUAGUUUUUACACAAAUAUAGUUUAAAAGCGAUUUAUUUUUAAUUCUUAUCAAAUGUACGUCUUCCAAUAUCGUAUAGUUUUGUAAUAAUUAUUUCGUUUGCGUCUUAAUACGUUCGUUCAUAGCACAAUUUUUGACUAAAAUGUAACAAUACAAGUGCUUUUGUGGAUUAAAAGUUAGUUUUAAUUAUUAUUUCUUUGUAAUGUUGAGCUUUUAGGAAUUUAAGGUCCAAAGAUCCGACCGUAUGUAAUACGGCCGGCAGAAUAUCAAUAUCCUAGCAGUAUUUGAGUUUAAAAAAAUAUUUUCAAAGAUUAUACUAUUUUUUUUUUUCGUUUAUAAGAUGGACACAAUUUUAGCCUUUAAGUACAAAGAAUACUAACCUCUCCUAACAUUAAUUUACUAAAUAGAAUUAUUAUUAUUAUUUAUAUUAUAUGAAAAAAAUAAAAUUGGUUUAUGUACUUACACGUCGUGCUAUUUUAAGAGAUAUUUUUAAAAUACAAAAUGAUCUAUUCUAUCGUUAUGAAUCUUAAUAUAUUUUUGAUUUAGUAAAUUGUUAUUUGCCGCUUAAGGUAUUGUUGGGCAACUGUUGGGCGACUGGAAAGUGGUCCAGUUUAAUGGCUGAAAAGUGUAACGCCGACUAUCGCUCUGCACUCAUUCCACUGAAACAUUGUAAAAUAUAUAAGCGAUUUUCAUAGUAGUUGCGAUAGAAUGAUGCCUGACUGUUGCCCGAUAUAUGACUACACCUCAACGUAUUUUUGCUUUUAAGCACAAUACGGAAAUAUACCUUAAGCAGUAAAAUAAUAAAAUUGUUAAUAUAUAAUUUGUUAGAAAAUGGUCCUUAAUAUAAGAAAGUUAAGCUGGAGUUUGUGUUAUGUGCCAUAAUGUAGUGUUGCCAGCGGAAACACCAUAUCCUAUGUUACCAUACUAAAAAAACAGAAUAAUUCCUUCCUUCGUAUUGUAUGUACAGUAACAAAAUUCGCUAUUUUUUGCUUUCUUAUUCGUAACACUGUCGUUAUUUUUUUUAAAUAUAACUAUAUUGAAAUUGUAUUUUUUUUUCUUUUUUGUGUUAUAUAAGUUUCACUUUAAAUGUAAGUAGAAGAGAAUAUAACGUACAUUUAAAAUAUUAAAUGAAACUAUAUGUUAAUUCAUAAUGUCGUAUGGGGGUUGCCACAGGUUUAGAAGCCUGUCAAUUAUAUACGACUUGAUAAUGUCGAGCGGACGCGGUAGCAUUGGGGACAAACAGACAAACAAAUAUACAUAUUUAUUUAUCUACCAUAGACUACGAUAUACAAACUCGAACACUAAUACACGCGCCAUAUUGAAACCAUAGACAUUUGUCAUGCCGGAACAAAGGCUUUUCGCCAAUGUCAUCCGCGUUCGUAGAUCGUGCAAUAAGGAGACCUCCAUACAUACCACAUCACUAUAGAAUCAUUGUGUAAUUAAAAAUUAACAUGGCAUUCUUUAUUAUAUAUGUAAAAUUAAUAAAAAAAAGUACUAUUUGGUAGCUAUUUAAGUAAGUAAUAGCGUAUCGCAAAAAAUAAAAAUGGAAUGCAAAAGUAACAAAAAAAGGUAUAAAAUAUAACGUAGACUGCUGAUGUUGUGGGGUACUUUCUGUCUUGCAGGCUACGCAGUAGUCGGAUCUGUUCGGGGUGGGUUGCGACUUUUACGACUUCCCGUCUUCUAUAUUACGACUUCCUACUUUUACCAUUAAUCCUGUAUUGCCAAAAUAAGUAAAAAGGCACCUUUAUUCGUUACUGUAAUUUUUUUAAUUACAGUGAAGCAUUCGGGACGUUUUUUAAGUAAAAUAAACAGGAAUUCCAAGAGAUAAAGUUUUUUCACUAAAAAAAAUACAGAAUUAAUCAUUUAUAUUUAUAUCUUGCUUGUAAUUGAAGUAAACUUCAAUUUGGUUGUCGUGAAAGUCGUCGCCCAGCAAAAGGAACAUACUGUAACUUCGACAUCUUAAGUAAUGCACACAUUUAGUUCGACCUGACUUCAAUGGUAGGCCUGGUGUGUGUUCUAGUUCACAUAACUUGAUAACUAGAUUAUGAAGAAAUAAGCCAAAAAACAAGAUUUUUAAUUCAUGAAAAUAAAGGUACUUUUAGUACUUUUUUUCUGGGAAAUAGCAGAAGAUGAAAAAAAUAUUUAAACAAUAUAGUUUGCAUACUUAUUCUGUUAUCCAGUUAUGUUAACUUCAACACUCGUAAAGCAACGCCCGGCUAAGCUUUUGAUAUAAAAGUACACGAUUAGAGAAAAUCACGAUUUUAUAGUAAAAAGCACUUUGAAUUCUAUAACAAUUUUAGUUAAUUAUAGUUGCCUGAUAUUUCAACUAUAGACGUUGAUUUGAGUAAUUAAUAUUAUAUAAUUUUAUAUUUAAAGCCAGUUAGCUCACAAUGUUUUCGGUUGUUCAAACUUCAAAGACUUAAAAAUUAUACGUAAUUUAGUUUUGAAUUUUUAUAUUUAUGCUAUGCAGUUUCUAAAUUCGGGUCACUCGCCGCUAAAGUUUUCUCACAAGUUGUAUAUAUGGCGUUAGAGCAUUUUUAGGGGUAUUUCGUCCAUAUUUAAAAUGAGUUUUUCGAACUAGAUGUUUUAAACUAGAAAAGACUAGAUGGUAAUUAAUCAAAUUGGUUUAAUUACUGUAAAGGUGGUGGAGUCAACAUCAGUCUAAUUCCGAUACUUGAACAAAGCCUAACUUUGAUCAGCGCUUAUGUAUCACGCUAUCGAACAUUGUAACGUGUUUUAUAGCUAUGUCAUACUUGUAAGUGCAACUUAAAGUUACGUAGCGUUCGAGUAUUCGGUAAUAAGUUAGUUUCCAGAAGUAUGUGUCUCUUAGCGACAGAACGGAAGUGGUCCCCCUAACAAAUGUCGACGUAACAAGUAUGUAUACAUUGUAUAUUGCUGUCCUACCCUCAUCCCUUUACGAUUUAAGUAAAUGCAAUAACAUGUGAGUCAUUGUAUCGUGUAUAAAGGUAGCUUAGAACAUAAUUUUCUAUGUUUUUCAAUAUUUAGAUGAACACCGCAAGUCCGUGCUAGGUCGGAGCAGGUUAGUUCGUCUGCGCUCGCGUCGCCAUGUUUUCAUAUAAUCGUGUUGGCGCCAACAAUGUGGACGUAGGUUUAAUACUUUGUUUCGCGUGUUCGGAUCCUUGACUAGUAGUAUCGUAACGUCCGUUGAUAAUAACCAAAUAGUAUUGAAAAGAUUCCUCCUUUUUUAAUAUAUCUUCAUAGUAGAUAAGUGAAUGUACUUGCGCACAAUGUAUGUGAGACGCGUCGAGUACCCUUUUGUUUAAAGAAUGCAGCGCUCGACUGCAAAUAUUUUUGGUAAUGUUUUACCUUUAACUCGUCGCAACUCUCUCGCUAAUGAAUGAAGGCAUUUAAUUAGUGCUCAUAGAUUUCUUUCCAUUGUAGCACAAAAAUAAAAUAAUAAAAAACGUAUUUUUCUCUCAAUUUUUGGGUAGUUAAUUUUUUUAAAUAGAAUAUUUUCUAGCAUAGCUCAAAGUCACUUUGUUUAGAAUCGGUAUUUGAGAUCAGCACUUAUCAUUGUGUUCGUUACCGACGGACUGCGGAUUAUCGUGUAUUUAAUCUUAAUACCUACGUUUAAUGAUAUACUGAAAAUCUAUAUUUUUAACAAAUUUAAUUUAAAAAAUAUACCUAAUUAAUGAAAUUCCUAAAGAUAAAAAUGAAAUUUUUAAUAUUUAUGUGUAUAGUAGUGUGUACUGCGAGGUGAUUAUAAAAUAACAAACGCUUAUAAGUUUUAUGUCUCCACAGAUUCGUGCAAAGAGAAUAUAUAAUUUACUGUCCAUGAAAUUAAUAAUAAUCUAUAACUGAUGUGUACAAAAAUCAGUAUGUUUCAGGCAUUUUGAAUCCGACUUAAUGUAUGUAAAAAUAAAUGUUGUUUUAAAA
Molecule: RNA transcript, 8086 nt
Organism: Helicoverpa zea (corn earworm)
Lineage: Eukaryota; Metazoa; Arthropoda; Insecta; Lepidoptera; Noctuidae
Gene: Galphas
Gene name: guanine nucleotide-binding protein G(s) subunit alpha
Exons: 13
Source: RefSeq, a predicted model, not a curated record